GAUGAAGAACGUAGCGAAAUGCGAUACGUAAUGUGAAUUGCAGAAUUCAGUGAAUCAUCGAAUCUUUGAACGCAUAUUGCGCUCUUUGGUAUUCCGAAGAGCAUGCUUGUUUGAGUAUCAGUAAACACCUCAACCUCUUCUUGAUUUUUCAAAAGGAGGGUGGACUUGAGCUAUCCCAACAACCUUUACCGGUCGGCGGGCGGCUUGAAAUGCAGGUGCAGCUGGACUUUUAUCUGAGCUAAAAGCAUAUCUAUUUAGUCCUCGUCAAACAGGAUUAUUACUUUUGCUGCAGCUAACAUAAAGGAUAAUUAUCCUCUUUGAUGACUGAUGCAGGAUUUUACGACACUUUAUGUGUUGUUCAACUCGAUCUCAAAUCAAGUAAGACUACCCGCUGAACUUAAGCAUAUCAAUAAGCGGAGGA
Molecule: unclassified non-coding RNA, 421 nt
Filed under: soil metagenome
Description: partial contains 5.8S ribosomal RNA, internal transcribed spacer 2, and large subunit ribosomal RNA
Rfam family: 5.8S ribosomal RNA (bases 1-120)
Source: RNAcentral